RNAcentral lists this ribosomal RNA (504 nucleotides) under uncultured bacterium. RNAcentral describes it as "bacterial SSU rRNA". It matches the Rfam family "Bacterial small subunit ribosomal RNA", at positions 1026 to 1529 of the family's 1533-position model. The record is from RNAcentral.
ACAAAGUGACAGGUGGUGCAUGGUUGUCGUCAGCUCGUGUCGUGAGAUGUUGGGUUAAGUCCCGCAGCGAGCGCAACCCUUAAGCUUAGUUGCCAUCAUUAAGUUGGGCACUCUAGGUUGACUGCCGGUGACAAACCGGAGGAAGGUGGGGAUGACGUCAAAUCAUCAUGCCCCUUAUGAUUUGGGCUACACACGUGCUACAAUGGACAAUACAAAGGGCAGCUAAACCGCGAGGUCAUGCAAAUCCCAUAAAGUCGUUCUCAGUUCGGAUUGUAGUCUGCAACUCGACUACAUGAAGCUGGAAUCGCUAGUAAUCGUAGAUCAGCAUGCUACGGUGAAUACGUUCCCGGGUCUUGUACACACCGCCCGUCACACCACGAGAGUUUGUAACACCCGAAGCCGGUGGAGUAACCAUUUAUGGAGCUAGCCGUCGAAGGUGGGACAAAUGAUUGGGGUGAAGUCGUAACAAGGUAGCCGUAUCGGAAGGUGCGGCUGGAUCACCUC